UACGUAGGGUGCGAGCGUUGUCCGGAAUUAUUGGGCGUAAAGAGCUCGUAGGCGGCUUGUCGCGUCGACUGUGAAAUCCCGCGGCUCAACUGCGGGUCUGCAGUCGAUACGGGCAGGCUAGAGUUCGGUAGGGGAGACUGGAAUUCCUGGGUGUAGCGGUGAAAUGCGCAGAUAUCAGGAGGAACACCGAUGGCGAAGGCAGGUCUCUGGGCCGAUACUGACGUGGAGGAGCGAAAGCGUGGGGAGCGAACAGG
RNAcentral lists this ribosomal RNA (254 nucleotides) under uncultured bacterium. RNAcentral's name for it is "partial 16S ribosomal RNA". It matches the Rfam family "Bacterial small subunit ribosomal RNA", at positions 524 to 776 of the family's 1533-position model. The record is from RNAcentral.